This 357-nucleotide RNase P RNA is filed under the name Paludibacteraceae bacterium. RNAcentral describes it as "RNase P RNA component class A". It matches the Rfam family "Bacterial RNase P class A". From Rfam's summary of the family: Ribonuclease P (RNase P) is a ubiquitous endoribonuclease, found in archaea, bacteria and eukarya as well as chloroplasts and mitochondria. Its best characterised activity is the generation of mature 5'-ends of tRNAs by cleaving the 5'-leader elements of precursor-tRNAs. Lineage: Bacteria; Pseudomonadati; Bacteroidota; Bacteroidia; Bacteroidales; Paludibacteraceae. The record is from RNAcentral.
AUAGCAGGCUGGUUUGUCGCUUCUUUUUCAAAGGAGAAGAGGAAAGUCCGGGCAACACAGAGCACCAUACUUCCUAACAGGAAGCUAUCUGCAAAGGUAGAGAAACGUAACAGAAAAUAACCGUCUCAUUUCUAUGAGAUAAGGGUGAAAAGGCGAGGUAAGAGCUCACCGGUAUGAUUGGUGACAAUCAUAGCCGUACGACUUAUGGGUUGCAAGAUCAAAUAUACCGACGCAUGUAGGGUGGCUCGUCCGAUGUCGGGGGGUAGAUCGCUAAAAGCAAAUGGUGACAUUUGUUUCAGAUAAAUGGCAAACGCUUUGAAAAAAGUACAGAACCCGGCUUACAAGCCUGCUAUUUUU